AGUGAACGCUGGCGGUAGGCCUAACACAUACAAGUCGAACGGCAGCACAGUAAGAGCUUGCUCUUACGGGUGGCGAGUGGCGGACGGGUGAGGAAUACAUCGGAAUCUACUUUUUCGUGGGGGAUAACGUAGGGAAACUUACGCUAAUACCGCAUACGACCUACGGGUGAAAGCAGGGGAUCUUCGGACCUUGCGCGAUUGAAUGAGCCGAUGUCGGAUUAGCUAGUUGGCGGGGUAAAGGCCCACCAAGGCGACGAUCCGUAGCUGGUCUGAGAGGAUGAUCAGCCUCACUGGAACUGAGAAACGGUCCAGACUCCUACGGGAGGCAGCAGUGGGGAAUAUUGGACAAUGGGAGCAAGCCUGAUCCAGCCAUACCGCGUGGGUGAAGAAGGCCUUCGGGUUGUAAAGCCCUUUUGUUGGGAAAGAAAAGCAGCAGGUUAAUACCCCGCUGUUCUGACGGUACCCAAAGAAUAAGCACCGGCUAACUUCGUG
Molecule: ribosomal RNA, 492 nt
Filed under: uncultured bacterium
Lineage: Bacteria
Description: partial 16S ribosomal RNA
Rfam family: Bacterial small subunit ribosomal RNA
Source: RNAcentral